GAGUGUCACGGCUCUUUUAGAAUUCGUCUAGCAGGUUUUCCGGUCUGCACUGGAAAGCCCCC
RNAcentral lists this small nuclear RNA (62 nucleotides) under Vicugna pacos (alpaca). RNAcentral's name for it is "U7 small nuclear RNA (ENSVPAG00000015598.1)". It matches the Rfam family "U7 small nuclear RNA". From Rfam's summary of the family: Animal histone pre-mRNAs are spliced by a different mechanism than nuclear pre-mRNAs and self-splicing introns. This processing involves the U7 snRNP, which contains only one RNA species: U7. The 5' end of U7 RNA is thought to base-pair to a conserved spacer element downstream of the cleavage site in histone pre-mRNA. Lineage: Eukaryota; Metazoa; Chordata; Mammalia; Artiodactyla; Camelidae. The record is from Rfam by way of RNAcentral.